GGUAAUUCUAGAGCUAAUACAUGCAAACAGAGCUCCGACCGGAGACGGAAGGAGCGCUUUUAUUACAUCAAAACCAAUCGGUGGCGGUUCCCGUCAUCGUACAACUUGGUGACUCUGAAUAACUUUACGCUGAUCGCACGGUCUCGCACCGGCGACGCAUCUUUCAAAUGUCUGCCUUAUCAACUGUCGAUGGUAGGUUCUGCGCCUACCAUGGUUGUAACGGGUAACGGGGAAUCAGGGUUCGAUUCCGGAGAGGGAGCCUGGGAAACGGCUACCACAUCCAAGGAAGGCAGCAGGCGCGCAAAUUACCCACUCCCGGCACGGGGAGGUAGUGACGAAAAAUAUCGAUACGGGACUCAUCCGAGGCCCCGUAAUCGGAAUGAGUACACUCUAAACCCUUUAACGAGGAUCAAUUGGAGGGCAAGUCUGGUGCCAGCAGCCGCGGUAAUUCCAGCUCCAAUAGCGUAUAUUAAAGUUGUUGCGGUUAAAAAGCUCGUAGUCGAAUCUGUGUCCCGCGCCGCCGGUUCAUCGUUCGCGGUGUUAACUGGCGUGCCGCGGGACGUCCUGCCGGUGGGCUUAGCUCGCGAGGGCGGCCCAACUCAAUCCCGCCGCGGUGCUCUUCAUUGAGUGUCGAGGUGGGCCGGCACGUUUACUUUGAACAAAUUAGAGUGCUUAAAGCAGGCUAAAACUUCGCCUGAAUACGUGUGCAUGGAAUAUUGGAAUAGGACCUCGGUUCUAUUUUGUUGGUUUUCGGAACCCCGAGGUAAUGAUUACUACGAACGGAUGGGGGCAUUCGUAUUGCGACGUUAUAGGUGGAAUUCUUGGAUCGUCGCAAGACGGACAGAAGCGAAAGCAUUUGCCAAAAACGCUUUCAUUGAUCAAGAACGAAAGUUAGAGGUUCGAAGGCGAUCAGAUACCGCCCUAGUUCUAACCAUAAACGAUGCCAGCUACCGAUCCGCC
RNAcentral lists this ribosomal RNA (960 nucleotides) under Mesostena angustata. Its description in RNAcentral is "SSU rRNA". It matches the Rfam family "Eukaryotic small subunit ribosomal RNA", at positions 151 to 1058 of the family's 1831-position model. The record is from RNAcentral. Lineage: Eukaryota; Metazoa; Arthropoda; Insecta; Coleoptera; Tenebrionidae.